This 217-nucleotide non-coding RNA is filed under the name Rummeliibacillus stabekisii. RNAcentral's name for it is "T-box sequence". It matches the Rfam family "T-box leader". Rfam says of the family: Uncharged tRNA acts as the effector for transcription antitermination of genes in the T-box leader family. T-boxes are found upstream of many aminoacyl-tRNA synthetase genes and some amino acid biosynthetic genes usually in Gram-positive bacteria. The record is from RNAcentral. Lineage: Bacteria; Bacillati; Bacillota; Bacilli; Caryophanales; Caryophanaceae.
GAUAAAACGUUGAAGAAGAAGAGUACUUAUAGUUCGUAUGUAAAGAGAGUCUGUGGCUGGUGGAAACAGAUCCUACGCUAUAGGGAAUGGGCUUCUGAGUAGCUUUAUGAAAACAUAGUAGUAAGGCUCGGGUUUGUCCUACGUUACAGGAUUAGAGUGGCCGGAUUUCGGCAAACUUGGGUGGUACCGCGGAUACAUUACAUUAUUCGUCCCUUUU